This 376-nucleotide unclassified non-coding RNA is filed under the name uncultured Oligoflexaceae bacterium. Its description in RNAcentral is "contains 16S-23S intergenic spacer region". The record is from RNAcentral. Lineage: Bacteria; Pseudomonadati; Bdellovibrionota; Oligoflexia; Oligoflexales; Oligoflexaceae.
UCCGGUUUAUCACCGGCGGUCCCCCUAUAGUUGCCAACUUAAUGAUGCUAAAUAAGGGUAAGGGUUGCGCUCGUUGCGGGACUUAACCCAACAUCUCACGACACGAGCUGACGACAGCCAUGCAGCACCUGUCUCCGUGUGUAUCGCUACUAUUAUACAUCUCUGUACUUUUCACGGGAUGUCAAACCCAGGUAAGGUUCUUCGCGUUGCUUCGAAUUAAACCACAUACUCCACCUCUUGUGCGGGCCCCCGUCAAUUCCUUUAAGUUUUAGCCUUGCGGCCGUACUCCCCAGGCGGAUAACUUAUCGCGUGUGCUGCGGUACUGAAGGUUAUAUCCCUCCAACACCUAGUUAUCAUCGUUUACGGCAUGGACUAC